RNAcentral lists this ribosomal RNA (415 nucleotides) under uncultured prokaryote. RNAcentral's name for it is "bacterial SSU rRNA". It matches the Rfam family "Bacterial small subunit ribosomal RNA", at positions 355 to 774 of the family's 1533-position model. The record is from RNAcentral.
UGAGGAAUUUUGCGCAAUGGGGGAAACCCUGACGCAGCAACGCCGCGUGGGUGAUGAAGGCCUUCGGGUCGUAAAGCCCUGUCGGGCGGGAAGAACGUCCUUUCGGGGAAUGACGGUACCGCCAGAGGAAGCACCGGCUAACUCCGUGCCAGCAGCCGCGGUAAUACGGAGGGUGCAAGCGUUAUUCGGAAUUACUGGGCGUAAAGGGCGUGCAGGCGGGAGAGCAAGUCUGAUGUGAAAGCCCGGGGCUUAACCCCGGAAGGGCAUUGGAAACUGCUUUUCUUGAGUUCUGGAGAGGAAGGGAGAAUUCCCGGUGUAGAGGUGAAAUUCGUAGAGAUCGGGAGGAACAUCAGUGGGGAAGGCGCCCUUCUGGACAGCAGCUGACGCUGAGACGCGAAAGCGUGGGGAGCGAGCA